RNAcentral lists this long non-coding RNA (1644 nucleotides) under Arabidopsis lyrata. RNAcentral's name for it is "long non-coding RNA (ALYR_LNC000590)". The record is from RNAcentral. Lineage: Eukaryota; Viridiplantae; Streptophyta; Magnoliopsida; Brassicales; Brassicaceae.
UUGAUUUCAUGUCAUCCUUUUUUAUCCAUAUCUUUUUUGGUUAAAAGAUAUUCAAUUUAAAGCAUGAAAAAAAAUGUUUUACUGAGCUAAAGGCCCAGUAAUUUUUUUAUUUUUUUUCCGUCUGGGAAUUAUAUUAGAAUGUUAAAGAGUUUUUCAUUACAACGUAACACAACCUUGAUAAAAAGCUAAUGCCGGAAGAAAAAGAAGAAAUCUCCGGAAGCUAAAGCCCAAAAAAGGGAAACCAAACCCAAAAAAGGGAAACCUAAGCUGGCAGGUAGCGAACCUCCAGAUACGAUGAUUAAACAACGUGAUACAGAAAAAAACAAAAACCUAAGGAAACAAUUCACCGAGAAAUGAGCAAAACCCAAAGCACAAAAACUGCCCACUAAAACGGAGUGAAACCCACAAAGCUUCCCAUAGAACAUGUAAACGCCGGAGAGAACCCAAACAGACCGGAAGGGCUAUAUACAUAGAUAGCCCACCGCAUACAAACCAUCACCAACACCGGCAGGAGCGAAAGCAGGACCCAAACGAUAACAUAGAAACAGAAGCCACCAUUAUCAGGACACACAAAGAACAGCCGAGGAAAGCGAGCAAACACUAAGCACAAGGUAAAAAACCUUGAGAUUCGACCAGAGACAAGCCAAGGAAAACAAACACCUCUUACACACGGACCCUCGUCGACCCAGCUUCAACCAUCUACAGACAUAAAACUGGUAACCUCCUCGCAAGAGAAAAGAUGAAAGUCGAAUCCACUGCUUGCCUAGAACCUAAAUCCACAACUCAAAAGAGCCACAAAAGAAGGCUAGCAGAUGACGAGCAACAAACUACCAUCCGAAUGACCAGCAAUUGGAACGAAACCUAGCCUGCCAAGCAAAUACGACAAAUCCAGCAGACCCAACAAAGCAGAUGUACUAAAGACAAACUCAACCCGCAUACUUCUCAAAGCAAACUAAAACCAUCGGUUAAAGCCACACAAACACCAACACUAACAAAUCCUUGUCGAGAAACACCAACCAAAGAAGAGAGAGAUGAGAGAUAUAAAUUACCAGACCAAGAAACGAAACAUGUCCGAUCUGAGCCACUACCUUGACAAACCCGCAGACCAGACGGAUCAGUCACUAAUCACAACCAAGCCUCACCGACGAUGGCUUCCCCUCCUUCAAACGCUCUUCUCUUCAAAGAGGAAUAUGACGACAAGGCCACAACAACACCAAAAUCAACAGAUCUAAGCCAAGAAAUCCAAAGAAAACGCGGGAGAUGAAGCAAAGAACACGAGAAAGGAGGCCACGAAACCUCCGCCGCCAACCAUCCACCGAUUCUUCACCAACCAAACAUCCACCUUCGCAUUUACCUUUAAAUCACUGGAGAAAGCUAGCUAAAAUCAAAACUAAGAAGCAAGACAAAGAUCUAAGACCCUCCCACAGCUCCGGCGAGAAGCCCGGCCACCGGGGAGGGCAAAUCGGAAAAAUCGAAGCUUGGGCGGCUGGAUGCUAGGGUUUUCGUCGAGAGAGCCUUUUUUGACUUGGUGUCUCUAAAAAAGGGGCAGUAUUGGAAGCCCAAAAUACAAAAAUAUACUCCAUAGUUAAAAGGGAACCAGUACUUGAACCAAAAGUUGUAAUUGAACCAGAAAAUCGGUUUUUG